CCAAAUAAAACACUUCUCCAACACCUAACCCGAAAAGGCGAAAACCCAUUAUUCCUGAACCUAACGCGCGCUGCCACCAAACCCAAAAACAAAGACCUGUGCUCUACUCCGGCGACGAUCUGCUCCAGCAUCUGCUCCGAUGACGAUCUGCUCCAGCGGCUGCUCCAUUGACGAUCUACUCCAGCGGCUAAUCCGGCGACGAUAUUCUCAGUGGCGUUAUCCUCUGACGAGAUUGUGUGCUCUCUCCAGUGACGAUCUGCUCUAGAAGGUUCUCCUCCGGCGGCGUGUUCGCCUCCAGCUACAAUUUCUGUGUGAGAGCAAGAAACUUCAUAAAACUACGAGGAUCUGUUGCGCAAGUAUUUCCUCCGACGAUCUUCUUCGGUGGCGAUCUCCUCCAUCAACGCUUCUCUUCCAUUGAUGAGAUCUGUUGCGCAAGUGUUUUCUACGGCAUCGAGUUGUGUUCUGCGAUUUCUCCAUCUCCAUCGAGCUUCAUUGAACAUCUAGGUUUUUUAUUUUCUUCCUUGUUAGAAGAAAUUGGAGGUGAUUGGUAUCUUUGAGGAGUUCCUUUCUUCUCAAGAUAGUGGUGCUCAUCAAUUGUCAGAAAAAGGAGUCUUGCAAGUUUUGUUAGAUGUAAAAUUUACCACUGAUAUACUGUCUGGUGGUGAUUCAAAUGUGGUUGGGGAAUUACAUAGAAACGCAAAGGCAAAAGUAUCUGUCAGGAGGAAGCAGGACCAAAGUUCGAAGACCUCAGCCAUUAGAGAACAUUCAGAUCAGUUAUUAAACCGCCUUUCUCAGAGGCUUGAUCCUAUUGACUGGCUUAUGUAUCAACCAUAUCUAUGGGAGAAUGAGCGGCAGUCAUAUCUGCGACAUGCUGUGCUGUUUGGUUUCUUUGUGCAACUUAACCGGAAGUACACUGACACUGUUCAGAAACUACCCACUAAUUCCAAGUCUAAUAUUCUUAGGUGUUCUACGGUUCCCAUUUCAAGUACCUCCCCAUCAGAGGAAUCAUAAAGGGAACUGGAUAUCUGUGUUCAUGUGAUGACUGCAAACAGAUAUUGAAUCAAAGAUAAGAAGAAUUGAGGAUGACCCUGAAGGAUCUGGGACCUCCCAUUUGCAUAGUAUUAUUCAAGGAGUUAAUUUGCAAGCUAAUCGUGCUUUGAAGCCUUUGUUUGAGAGACAAGUGAGUGAAGUCUAAAUUUUACAUUUUCUUCCAGAAAUCAGGUUCCCCUCCCUUCCCCCUUCCUCUUUAUUAACUUUCAUUUAUUGCUUUUAGAGGAUGCUUUCAAUAGAGUAAUUGAUUUAUUCUAGAAUUCUAAUUAAAAUAUAAGGAUCACUUAUCUUACUUGGAGCAGAUUCUAUCUCAUGGUUUCUUCCAUGCUGACCCUGUAAGUUUUAUAUUCCUGAGUUGCUAAAUAUUUUAGACUCUCUCUCUCUCUCUCUCUCUCUCUCUCUCUCUCUCUCUGAGUUGUUGACCCUGUAACUCACUAACUUGCCAUGUUCUUCUCUUUAGGAUGUCUCAAGAAUUGAAACAGCUCCAGAGUAUGUUGCCGAUCAUAUGCUUUAGAGAUGGAAGUCCUGCACUGCCAGAUGCCUUAUCAAUGACGAAUUCAGCAAUCUCAAGGAUAAAUAGUCUUGAUAUAGGCUGUGUUUUCCAAUGCAGAAAAAUACCCCUAUGACAUUGACAAACAAUCAGGGUUAGUUUGUAGGAUUAUUUGGUGGCGAAGAGAAUUGAUGAUGGUGAGCUCAUCAAGAAAUUCCAUCUUCUGCUCUUGUGAUCGAAACCAUGGAGGCUUUGACUGUAGCAUUGAAAUUGUAACUCAUCAAGAUGGCAAAAUUAGAUAUAUGCGCAAGUCCAGAUAGUUUGAUAAUAUCAUUAGACAAAUUAAUGACGGUAAAAACUACCUGGAAAAAAAAAAGGUAUUUCUUGGGGACAUGGGAGCAGGGAAGACAAGUUUGGUUCUUAGAUUUGUGAAAGGCCAAUUUUCUGAGUACCAGGUUACUCUUAGUUAUUGCAUUUUCUUAAUAUAUUAUAUGGCUAUUAGUGUUGGGAAUGGAUUAACCUUAUUCUAUGUGGAAGGGUGCAGGAAUCAAUAAUUGGGGCAGCGUUCUUCACUCAGGUUUUGUCUUUGAACGAAGCCACUGUCAAAUUUGAUAUAUGGCCAAAUACAUCAAAUUGUUGUGCUUUGCUUUUAAUCAGAUCAGGAGACACAAGAUGUUAAUGCGGAUGCUUGGCACGAUCUUGCCUUAGGCCAAGAAUAGAAAGUUGAUUAGUUUCAUGCUUUGGAGUAGGUUUGAGACAAUGAUGCUUCUUGUUCUUGAACUACGAGCCAUCCUUCCUAUUUCUUGGAUAAAUUUUAUACUUCCAAUUUUAUGAACCAGUUCAUGUGAUGUCAUUGCCCAUGGAUUGCUGUCACUAGAAGUACCUUGUAUAGUUGUAUUGCCGGUUAAUAGAAAUCAGCACUUGAUAAUGCAUUUUGGCAUGUUUAUUAGAUUUUUUGUUCAAGUAAUACCUUUAAUAAAGUAAGCAGAAAAUAUUGUAUCUU
Non-coding RNA from Arachis ipaensis, 2543 nucleotides. Lineage: Eukaryota; Viridiplantae; Streptophyta; Magnoliopsida; Fabales; Fabaceae. The record is from RefSeq and is a predicted model, not a curated record.